Small nucleolar RNA from Zingiber officinale, 85 nucleotides. The record is from RefSeq and is a predicted model, not a curated record. Lineage: Eukaryota; Viridiplantae; Streptophyta; Magnoliopsida; Zingiberales; Zingiberaceae.
GGGCGAUGAUUAUAGCUUGCCCGCGCUUCUGAUAGUAAUCAUGAAGCAUAUGGGAAAAAAUGGUUGAAUUUCUUAAUAUGAGCCU